GACAGAGGGUGCAAACGUUGUUCGGAAUUACUGGGCGUAAAGCGUGUGUAGGCGGCCAUGUAAGUUGGAUGUGAAAGCCCGGGGCUCAACCCCGGAAGUGCAUUCAAUACUGCGUGGCUUGAGUAUCGGAGAGGUUGGUGGAAUUCUCGGUGUAGAGGUGAAAUUCGUAGAUAUCGAGAGGAACACCGGUGGCGAAGGCGGCCAACUGGACGAAUACUGACGCUGAGACACGAAAGCGUGGGGAGCAAACAGGAUUAGAUACCCUGGUAGUCCACGCCGUAAACGAUGGGUGCUAGGUGUCACGGGCAUUGACUCCCGUGGUGCCGUAGCCAACGCAUUAAGCACCCCGCCUGGGAAGUACGGCCGCAAGGCUAAA
RNAcentral lists this ribosomal RNA (376 nucleotides) under uncultured bacterium. RNAcentral's name for it is "bacterial SSU rRNA". It matches the Rfam family "Bacterial small subunit ribosomal RNA", at positions 524 to 898 of the family's 1533-position model. The record is from RNAcentral.